RNAcentral lists this ribosomal RNA (495 nucleotides) under uncultured bacterium. Its description in RNAcentral is "partial 16S ribosomal RNA". It matches the Rfam family "Bacterial small subunit ribosomal RNA", at positions 28 to 507 of the family's 1533-position model. The record is from RNAcentral.
GAUGAACGCUGGCGGCGUGCCUAAUACAUGCAAGUAGAACGCUGAAGGAGGAGCUUGCUCUUCUGGAUGAGUUGCGAACGGGUGAGUAACGCGUAGGUAACCUGCCUGGUAGCGGGGGAUAACUAUUGGAAACGAUAGCUAAAACCGCAUGACAACAGUUAUUGCAUGAUAACUGUUUAAAAGGGGCAACUGCUCCACUACCAGAUGGACCUGCGUUGUAUUAGCUAGUUGGUGAGGUAACGGCUCACCAAGGCGACGAUACAUAGCCGACCUGAGAGGGUGAUCGGCCACACUGGGACUGAGACACGGCCCAGACUCCUACGGGAGGCAGCAGUAGGGAAUCUUCGGCAAUGGACGGAAGUCUGACCGAGCAACGCCGCGUGAGUGAAGAAGGUUUUCGGAUCGUAAAGCUCUGUUGUAAGAGAAGAACGAGUGUGAGAGUGGAAAGUUCACACUGUGACGGUAUCUGACCAGAAAGGGACGGCUAACUACGUG